UGCAGUCGAACGAUGAAGCCCAGCUUGCUGGGUGGAUUAGUGGCGAACGGGUGAGUAACACGUGAGUAACCUGCCCUUGACUCUAGGAUAAGCCCGGGAAACUGGGUCUAAUACUGGAUAGGAACGUCUACCGCAUGGUGGGUGUUGGAAAGAAUUUCGGUCAUGGAUGGACUCGCGGCCUAUCAGCUUGUUUGUGAGGUAAUGGCUCACCCUAGCGACGACGGGUAGCCGGCCUGAGAGGGUGACCGGCCACACUGGGACUGAGACACGGCCCAGACUCCUACGGGAGGCAGCAGUGGGGAAUAUUGCACAAUGGGCGAAAGCCUGAUGCAGCGACGCCGCGUGAGGGAUGACGGCCUUCGGGUUGUAAACCUCUUUCAGUAGGGAAGAAGCGAAAGUGACGGUACCUGCAGAAGAAGCACCGGCUAACUACGUGCCAGCAGCCGCGGUAAUACGUAGGGUGCGAGCGUUAUCCGGAAUUAUUGGGCGUAAAGAGCUCGUAGGCGGUUUGUCGCGUCUGUCGUGAAAGUCCGGGGCUUAACCCCGGAUCUGCGGUGGGUACGGGCAGACUAGAGUGCAGUAGGGGAGACUGGAAUUCCUGGUGUAGCGGUGGAAUGCGCAGAUAUCAGGAGGAACACCGAUGGCGAAGGCAGGUCUCUGGGCUGUAACUGACGCUGAGGAGCGAAAGCAUGGGGAGCGAACAGGAUUAGAUACCCUGGUAGUCCAUGCCGUAAACGUUGGGCACUAGGUGUGGGGAACAUUCCACGUUUUCCGCGCCGCAGCUAACGCAUUAAGUGCCCCGCCUGGGGAGUACGGCCGCCAGGCUAAAC
RNAcentral lists this ribosomal RNA (830 nucleotides) under Micrococcus sp. UA-AR0226. RNAcentral describes it as "bacterial SSU rRNA". It matches the Rfam family "Bacterial small subunit ribosomal RNA", at positions 56 to 899 of the family's 1533-position model. The record is from RNAcentral. Lineage: Bacteria; Bacillati; Actinomycetota; Actinomycetes; Micrococcales; Micrococcaceae.